UGACCGUGGUAAAGUAGCAUAAUAAAUUGUCAUUUAAUUGGUGGAGUGUAUGAAUGGUAAUACGAUUACUUCAUUGUCUCAGAUAAAAUUCUUUAAAAUUGAAAUAAUAGUGAAGAUUCUAUUAGAAAUCGUAAGACGAAAAGACCCUAUAGAGCUUAACUAUAGCUCUAAAUAAAUUUAGAGUUGGUAGUUUAGUUGGGGCGACUAUCUUUUAUAAUCAACAAAGAUAAGUAAUAUUAAUAAAUUUAAUUUAUUGUUUAAUUUAUAAAUUUAACAAUUAAGAAAUUAGGCUAUAUUGACCCAUUAAGUAAGAAUUAAUAACUUAAUGAAAAAUAAAUAAAAGUUACCGUAGGGAUAACAGAG
RNAcentral lists this ribosomal RNA (363 nucleotides) under Ectopleura obypa. RNAcentral's name for it is "partial 16S ribosomal RNA". It matches the Rfam family "Bacterial large subunit ribosomal RNA", at positions 1943 to 2482 of the family's 2925-position model. Lineage: Eukaryota; Metazoa; Cnidaria; Hydrozoa; Anthoathecata; Tubulariidae. The record is from RNAcentral.